Molecule: ribosomal RNA, 292 nt
Filed under: uncultured bacterium
Lineage: Bacteria
Also listed under: 2 other names
Description: partial 16S ribosomal RNA
Source: RNAcentral
GGACUACUGGGGUUUCUAAUCCCGUUUGCUCCCCUGGCUUUCGCGCAUCAGCGUCAGAAAGGAUCCAGCACACCGCUUUCGCCACCGGAGUUCCUAUGGAUAUCAACGCAUUUCACCGCUCCACCCACAGUUCCGUGUGCCCCUAUCCUCCUCGAGACCAUCAGUAUCCGAGGCCGUUCUCCAGUUGAGCUGGAGGAUUUCACCCCGGACUUGAUAGCCCGCCUACGCGCCCUUUAAGCCCAGUGAUUCCGAACAACGUUCGCACGGUUCGUCUUACCGCGGCUGCUGGCAC